CUAUAGGACAUGUCCUUAUAGGGACAUUUGGAUUCUGGUAACUCGAGGUUGUUUUCUGAGAAAACACACAGUUCCCUCUAGGGAGAGGAAGAGGGAAGGAAAAAGCUUCAUGUGACAGAUGCUAAUUAUGCAGCUUAAUGCACUUCUGGAAGUUGCAGAGAUGAGAACUCUAUAAGAACCUAUCUACAAAACAAAGCACAUUUUCAACAGCA
Lonchura striata (white-rumped munia) is the source of this 212-nucleotide non-coding RNA. NCBI's taxonomy places the organism in Eukaryota, Metazoa, Chordata, Aves, Passeriformes, Estrildidae. The record is from RefSeq and is a predicted model, not a curated record.